GACGAACGCUGGCGGCGUGCUUAACACAUGCAAGUCGAACGGAAAGGCCCUGCUUUUGUGGGGUGCUCGAGUGGCGAAGGGGUGAGGAACACGGGAGUAACCUGCCCUUGACUUUGGGAUAACUUCAGGAAACUGGGGCUAAUACCGGAUAGGAGCUCCUGCUGCAUGGUGGGGGUUGGAAAGUUUCGGCGGUUGGGGAUGGACUCGCGGCUUAUCAGCUUGUUGGUGGGGUAGUGGCUUACCAAGGCUUUGACGGGUAGCCGGCCUGAGAGGGUGACCGGCCACAUUGGGACUGAGAUACGGCCCAGACUCCUACGGGAGGCAGCAGUGGGGAAUAUUGCACAAUGGGCGGAAGCCUGAUGCAGCAACGCCGCGUGCGGGAUGACGGCCUUCGGGUUGUAAACCGCUUUCGCCUGUGACGAAGCGUGAGUGACGGUAAUGGGUAAAGAAGCACCGGCUAACUACGUG
This 468-nucleotide ribosomal RNA is filed under the name uncultured bacterium. RNAcentral's name for it is "partial 16S ribosomal RNA". It matches the Rfam family "Bacterial small subunit ribosomal RNA", at positions 28 to 507 of the family's 1533-position model. The record is from RNAcentral.